This is a long non-coding RNA of Mugil cephalus (flathead mullet), 825 nucleotides long. RefSeq lists it as uncharacterized. NCBI's taxonomy places the organism in Eukaryota, Metazoa, Chordata, Actinopteri, Mugiliformes, Mugilidae. The record is from RefSeq and is a predicted model, not a curated record. The transcript is spliced from 4 exons.
GUGGGGGUAGAGCAAGGUGUGGCUUUGGUUCUCAUGUGUGAAGCAACAUACUGUAAUAAUGGGGCUUUAAGGGUUUUAUUUGAAACUCCAGUGAAAUGCUCCAUUUAGCGAAAGGAGAAUUACAUUUGCAGAAGAUCACUGCUCAUUGCUCUGUGAGUGAGCUCAUCUGGUUCCUAAAUGUCUUUUGUGGAGCAGCAAUCUGUUUCCACUUAAGCACAGGAAGGUUGUGCAACCCACUGAAGUACAGCCAGGAGUCCACUCCUAAAGGGAAAGUCAAAGGUGACACCUGAAGUGCAUUUGUGAGGUCAGACACUGAUGUUGGAUGAGAAGGCCCAGCUCACAGUCACCUAAUUCAUCUGGAAGGUGUUCUAUCAGGUUGAGGGUCACGGGGGUUUCUGGAGUCUGUCCCAGCUGUCAUUGGGUGAGAGGCGGGGUACACUCGCAUUCACACGCACACCUAGGCCGCCUGUUUGGUAAAACCUAGCAUAUGAAUUGUCAAUACAGUUCCUCCUUAUUACACACAGGAGUCAUGGAGCAAACAUAUCCCUUCUUUGUCACAUCUUAACGGUAGUUUCCUGCCUGAGCUUCCGGACUCUUUCUGCUAUGUUUGACUUCAGCAGCAGCUACGCAGUAAGACGAGUCAACCUCCCAAGCGCUGACCGUGUGGACCUCUGCAUUGAUAAGACCUUGACCCCAAGCUGCACGAAUGCUUAAAUGUUGUCCAUUUUCAAUAUUGUUCAAUUUGCAAUAUUCAACUGAGCAAAAGAGAAAUACAUGCAACUUAAAAAUGAAAAUAAAUGAAAAUUGAUCAUACAGACAAUGCCU